ACCGUGACAGCUAAAAUGGACAUAAAAUUCACGUGUUGCUUUGCUUUGUAAAUGCAAAACACGCGGCCGGUAAUCGUUUUUAUUUUUGUUUAGGCAAAUAUUUGUCUUAAACCUUUUAUUUUUUGUUUACCGGAAUGAUAAAAUGUCGGUGUGCAAUAUGUUGAUGGCACUCAAAGCGGUAGGCGCUGAAACAAAAACCCCAGAAUUAACAAAAUUGUGUGAGGAACUGCAGGAAUCAAUAAGUUCCAACACUUUUGAUAUUAAAAAUGCCGUCACACAGCUAUCAGAAUAUAUUCUUAAAAUCGAUGAUGCAAAACUAUUCAAGAAGUACUUAUCCAGUAUACUUCUUGCAUUGGUGUCUGCUAAGAUACCGCUAAAACCUGUAUUUUCUAACAUUAAUAGUGAAACAUAUAGUGACUCGGAAAAGAAUUGUCACUUAGAAUAUUCAAUUAUACUAGCUGCAUUGAGUGAUCAUCCUGACAUUCUACAAUAUGCAUUGAAAUAUUUUGAAGUCAAUCCUGUACCUCCAUUUGAAGUAUUUAGCCAUCAUGAAGACUCCUAUAAUGUGGCUCCAAAGAAGCGGAGAUUGCUUGACUAUGGGCAAAAAAUUGCUGAAAAGCAAGUCAUUACAUGCUGCUAUACAUUGCUUAAAAAAUUACCAAAUGAAAUGUCUGCAAAAUGGGAUUGGACUAAGUUUAUUGGGACGUACGGUAAUCAUGGACGGGCGGAUGUGCGAUGGAUGAUACGGGAAUGCAUGGCAAUCCUAGCAAACAUGACAGACACACAACAGAUGGUAUUCUCCGUUAAAAUGUUAGUUCAAGAAUAUGAGUGUCAUGAAAUUCUAGAAAAAGGCGUUAUGGACCCGGUCCAUACUAUGGAUGAAAUAGUGAAAGAUGAUCUAAGCCCCAAUGUGGUAAACAUUGACGGUAUACUUUUACCUAUUUUUGAGAAAGAUAACGUCCAAAAAGGAAAUUUAGUUCCAGUGAAAUCUACAGUCAAUAAUCUCAGGAGUUUAGCUUUGGCUGUUGCUUCAGGACAAGCCCUAAGUCUUAUGGGCCCAGUAGGAUCAGGAAAGACUUCUCUCGUGGAACAUUUGGCUGCUAUCACGGGCCGCAAGGGUGUGGCCUUCAAGAAGGUGCAGCUCGGAGACCAAACGGACUCCCGUAUGUUAUUAGGAUCACAUCAAUGUACUGACAUUCCUGGAGAAUUUGUGUGGAGACCUGGUGUUUUGACUGAGGCUGUACAAAAUGGACAUUGGCUCCUCUUAGAGGACAUAGACUGCGCAGCAUUAGAUGUAGCGUCGACCCUCAGUUCCCUUCUAGAAAGAAACGCACUAUGCGUUCCUGGCUAUCGAGAUUCCUUGCCAGUAACGCCAGGCUUUCAACUAUUCGUCACACAACGAACUUUGACAACCAAUUAUGGGUUCCAAAAGAAAAUUUCCAACUCUAGCACAUUGCUUCAAAAGCAUUUGACACAAAUAAACGUGGAGCCUUUAUCACGGUCUGAACUUGCAGAGAUUAUACAAGCUCUGUACCCGGCACUUACAACGAUAUGUUCUAGAAUGAUCGAAGUAUUCAUGAUGUUCUCAGUAGGCAGUCAUGACACAUCCCUUCAAACUACUGAAGUAGUGGAUAGCGAUAAAGAAAAGAAUUUAAUUCUAAUGCGAGGGUCAAGACUGAUAUCGACGAGAGACUUGUUGAAGUGGUGCUCUAGAGCAGUAGUCGGCUUCGACGUGUCCAGUCCUGAGUCAGCACUCAAAGUCCUGCAGGACGCUUUAGAUAUUUUCACCUGUUCCGUGGCUUCAACGGAACACAGACUUGAAUUGUCCAAGAAAAUUGGCUUAUGUCUCGGAAUAGUGGAAGCUAAGUCAGAAUUCUACUGCAAACAUUACAAGCCAAACGUAUCACUGACUGCGAAUUUCUUAGAAGUGGGCAGGUCGAAGGUGCCAAGAGUAGAGAAAAGCUUAGAAACUAUAGAUUUUGAUACGAAACAGACUGUGUUUUCAUUUACGCGACAGUCAGCUUGCUUGCUUGAGCGGAUCGCUUGUUGCGUGACUUCCAAUGAACCUGUCCUGCUGGUUGGUGAGACGGGUACUGGCAAGACUUCAUCAGUGCAGUACAUAGCGAGACAAACCGGGAAUAAACUAGUGGUCAUUAACAUGAACCAACAAUCAGACUCGGCUGAUUUACUCGGAGGGUACAAACCCGUCGACCUAAAAUACGUAAUCCGGCCUAUUAGGCUCUAUUUUGAAGAGCUCUUCCGUGAUUACUAUAAUGUAGACAAGAACAAGAAGUUUUUGGGCCACAUCGAAACCUGUUAUGACACAGAAAAUUGGACUGCUUUAUUGGCGUUGAUGAAGCAGAGUCAGAAAGCGGCAGUUGGCAGGCUGACGAUAGAGAAGUCGGAUAAGCUGAAAGAGUGGGUAGCUCUUGGGGUUAAGCUGCAGAAAUUGGAACAGCAGGUUAAGGCAGCAUCGAAGUUGACCUUCGCUUUUAUCGAAGGGUCUCUAGUCAAAGCGAUGCAAGAAGGCCAUUGGGUUUUGCUGGACGAAAUCAAUUUGGCUUCUGCAGAAAUUUUGGAAUGCUUAGCUGGGCUACUGGAAGAUAAAAGUGAGACCAUUGAUUUAUUGGAAAAAGGGGAUAAGGUGCCCAUAAAGCGGCAUCCUAAUUUCACUCUAUUCGCUUGUAUGAACCCUGCAACUGAUGUGGGUAAAAAGGACUUGCCUGCCGGUCUUAGGAACCGGUUUACGGAGUUCUUUAUUGAUGAGUUGAAUGAGCGCAACGACUUGAUGUUGCUCAUUGGUGACUAUUUGUACCACAUGAAUCUUGGUGGCGGGGUUUUGGAAGCUAUAUACAAUUUCUACGCCAGUAUCAAGAAGGAAGCUAAAUUGAGUCUUGUGGAUGGAUCAGGCAAUACUCCUCAUUAUUCUCUUAGGACAUUAUGCAGAGCUCUAACGGCUGCAGCCAAAGCAAGAUGUGGAACGGUAUCCAGAUCUCUUUACGAAGCGUUCUGCUUAUCCUUCCUUACCCAAUUGGACAGUUCAUCGCAUCCAAAAGUAGAAGCCAUGAUUGCCAAGGCUGUCAUCGGCAAGAAGAAUGUGAAAACAGUUACAAACCAACUCAUUCCCGAACCACAAGUCAAGGGUCAAAAUUAUUUGCUCUUCGAAGGUCACUGGAUCCCUCAGGGCAAAUUAGAAAUAGCUAUCCCAGAAGGAUACAUCCUUACCCCAACAGUUAGAAAGAACCUUCGCGAUAUAGCUCGAAUUAUUUCCCUUGGUCGAUUACCAAUUUUGUUGCAAGGAGACACCUCCGUAGGUAAAACAUCACUCAUCACAUACAUAGCUAAAGCAUCAGGAAAUUAUUGCGUCAGAAUAAAUAACCACGAACAUACUGACCUUCAAGAGUACAUUGGGUCUUACGCCACAGACUCCAAUGGGAAACUAGUCUUCAAAGAAGGCGUUCUAGUCGAAGCCAUGAGGAAAGGAUACUGGAUUAUCCUAGACGAGCUUAAUUUAGCUCCAAGUGACGUUUUAGAGGCUCUAAAUCGAGUCUUAGAUGACAAUAGAGAAUUGUUCAUACCAGAAACCCAACAAGUCGUUAAAGCGGAUCCCAACUUCAUGUUGUUCGCUACCCAAAAUCCUCCAGGAUUGUACGGUGGACGUAAAGCGCUGUCCAGGGCGUUUAGAAACAGAUUUGUUGAGUUACACUUCGACGAGAUACCAAAGAAAGAAUUGGAAACUAUACUGCACCAAAGAUGUCAUGUUCCUCCAGCUUAUAGUAAGAAAAUGAUAGCGGUUAUGGCGGAUCUUCAAAUUAGACGCCGAGGUUCCGCAGCCGUUCAGGGCAAAGACGGAUUCAUCACACUGAGAGACUUGUUCCGAUGGGGCCAACGAUACAAGUGUGCCUCUAAGGAAUCUUUGACUGACGAUAAAUUUUACGAUUGGGAUCAACACAUAGCCGACGAGGGCUACCUCAUCUUAGCUGGAAAAGUUCGACAGACUGACGAAAGAUCCAUUAUUGAGGAAGUGAUAGAGAAACAUAUUAAAAGGAAGGUCAACCCUGACAAUCUUUUUACUCUGCACUCAACCACGUCUCCUGUUACCAAGUCUAUUCUGGAGACUAUUUUAAAUAACCAACUUGAGGAGUUCUCUCACGUUGUCUGGACGUACAAUAUGAGAAGACUUGCGGUCUUAAUAGCAAAGUCAUUCAGUUUCGAUGAGCCAGUCUUGCUGGUCGGUGAAACUGGUUGUGGAAAGACAACAAUAUGUCAAGUGCUGGCAGCUCUGAAAAAAUGUCAGUUACUGACAGUCAACUGCCACAUGCACACGGAAAGCUCAGAUUUCCUAGGAGGCCUCCGUCCUGUACGACAGUACCAAAACGAUGGCAGACUCUUCGAAUGGGUCGAUGGACCAUUGAUCAAGGCUAUGGAGACAGGAAACAUGUUCCUAGCUGAUGAAAUAUCAUUGGCUGAUGACAGUGUAUUGGAGAGAAUGAACUCUUUACUAGAACCUGAAAGGCAGCUAGUACUCGCUGAAAGAGGUAUGGAAAACAAUUCCGACAUCGUUGUCAUCACAGCGAAUAAGAACUUCCACUUUAUCGGAACUAUGAACCCUGGAGGAGAUUUCGGUAAGAAAGAGCUGUCACCCGCUCUUCGUAACCGAUUUACCGAAAUAUGGUGCGAUAGUGUCACAUCCAGGGAAGACUUAUUGAAAGUACUCGAAAAGAGUGUUAACAAAGGAGUAUCGCUUGGCAACCAAGAAGAUGGUAGCUCAGGCAUAGGUACUUCGAUCCUAAACUUCACCGAUUGGUUGAAGAACUCUGAAGUGACGAACAAAUUCCCAUUCAGUAUCCGUGAUCUACUCUCGUGGGUCAACUUCAUUAAUAUAACAGUUGCCAAAGGUCUUUUGGACACUCCAGAAGCGUAUGUCCACGGCGCUUGUAUGACAUUCUUGGACUGUUUCGGAACAGCGCUAACGGGACACAUUGAUUCCGAAACACUAGUUUUACUUCGGAAAAAUGCUAUCAAUUUAUUGUUGGAACAAAUAAAAUCAAGUGGAAGUGAAUACAUGGAAGGUUUGCGAGAAAUGUUGAGUAACAAACAGACUAAGUUUGUGGCGGAGAGUGGUCCUGAGAAGUUUGGGAUCAAGCCAUUUUAUAUUGAAGUUGGUCAAGGAAGUACUGAGGGCGAACAAAACUUCACGUUCACGGCUCCAACGACUGGUGCCAAUACUUUGAGACUGUUGCGUGGGCUGCAGCUGAAUAAAGCCAUACUGCUUGAAGGAAACCCAGGAGUUGGAAAGACAAGUUUAGUGACUGCACUUGCAAAAUCUUCCGGCCACAAAGUUGUUCGGAUCAAUUUGAGUGACCAAACUGAUAUAACAGACUUAUUCGGAACGGACCUCCCAACAGAAGAUGGAUCUUUCAUGUUCAAAGAAGGUGCAUUCUUGAGCGCGCUGCAAAAUGGUGACUGGAUUCUUUUGGACGAGUUGAAUUUGGCUCCACAACCAGUGCUCGAAGGUCUUAAUGCUUGCUUGGAUCACCGAGGUGAAGUAUUCAUUCCUGAACUUGGUAGAACCUUCAAGGUCAAAGAGCAGACCAGACUAUUCGCCUGCCAAAAUCCUUUGAAGCAAGGAGGAGCGCGCAGAGGUCUACCCGUUUCCUUCUUGAACCGAUUUACUCAAGUUUAUAUCGAUACAUUGACUAAAGAAGACUUGAUAUACAUUGUGGAGUCACAGUAUUCAGCUAUACCCAAAGACAUUCUACACAAGAUAGUAGAAUUCAACUGCAAAGUAGCUCAUGAAGUGACGGAGAUUCAGUCUUGGGGCCACAGAGGAGCUCCUUGGGAAAUGAACUUGAGAGACAUACAGAGGUGGUGCGAGGCCAUCAUAUUGGACGAGAAAGAACGAGAAAUCCUUUCCCCUGGAAAAUUCGUCGAUAUGCUCUACGUGAACCGUAUGAGAACACAGGAAGAUAAGGAGAAAAUGAUCGAAGCCUAUAAUAAAAUAUUCCUUCCUGACUACCCGAGAAGUGAUCCCAAUCCACAGUUCUAUGUCAGCCUUCCAACUGUAGUGUUUGGAGACGUAAUCUUAAACAGGAAAGAUCAGAAAGAGUUCAAAAACCGUCGAUCUUUUGACACGAAUUUGCUUGUGCUUAGAAGUCAAAUGCCGAUAUUGAAAGCGGUGGCCCAAAGCAUCAAGAUGAAUUGGUUGACAAUUCUAGUUGGACCUUCAGCCACAGGCAAAAGCAGUAUUGUGCAAGUACUUGCAGACUUGACAGGGAACGAACUGCAAGUCAUACCAGUGACAUCGGCAAUGGACGUUUCAGAUCUCCUCGGUGGUUUCGAACAAGUCGAUUUCAACAGAAAUCUAGAGAACUUGUUCGAAAAAAUUGAGACUCUAACGUUACAAACGAUUAGAAACAUGUGGAUAAUGCAAAGAGCAUUUGAAUGGAAAAAUAAUCUUCUGAUAACUGAACUGCAUGAGUACCAAAAAUUGAACAAGACUACCAGUAAUGAAAUAUCGGAAGAGAAUACAGCAAAGUUCAACCAAAAGAUUGAGUUCCUUCUUGCUCAUUGCGAGAAAUUGAUACAAAACAAUGAGCGUCAAGAACAAGUUCUCAAGAGAUUAAAUGACAUCGUGAAUAGUUUGAAGAAGCUGCAGAACAAAGUAUCACAGGCAUCAUCAGUAAAUGCUGGUGGAAAGUUCGAGUUCGUGGACUCUUUGCUUGUGAAGACCAUGCUAGAAGGUUCAUGGUUGCUCCUGGACAACGUGAAUCUUACGUCUGCAGCCGUUCUUGAUAGAUUGAACGGUUUAUUGGAACCGAAUGGAGUACUAAGCAUUCCCGAAAGGGGAGAAUUUAGCGAAAUAAAACCUCAUCCAAAUUUCCGUGUGUUUUUCACUAUGGAUCCGAAGUACGGUGAGAUCUCAAGGGCUAUGAGGAACCGAGGGGUGGAGAUAUCUCUUCUAAGACCAGAUGAGAUGCAGAAUUCGUAUGUAUCUGAAACUGAGAACUUAUUUGAUUUGAGGGCUUUACUCUCUUCAAGUGGACUGCCUACUAAAUACCAUGACGUGUGCAUUAAAUGCCACGAGCUGAUGCAGACGUUUGUUGAAGGUCUCGAUCGUCCAACCAUUUCGCAUCUCUUACAAGCGGCUCACCUGACGUGGCAACAGUUACUCCGUGGUAUUUCUGCCACCACUGCCAUCAUCAGCAGCUUCUCAGACGUGUACAUCAAACCACGAUGCGGCGCCGAUUUUGCAUCCAACGUGAACGCUUCACUCGCAGAAAUGAAGAACUCCAUGUUGAAGGCCUUGGAAGAAAAGGUAAAUGGAAACAAAAUCGAUGAAAAGGCUAUCGUACACGCAGAUACAUUCCACACUACUGGAGUAAAAGGUUUCUGUAGAAACACUCCAGUUGAAAUCGCCAAACAGCUCUGCUAUAUUGCUGUGCAAGAAACUAAGAAUUCCACUAUAGAAUCACCACUACACGUCAUGUUUGGUUUGUACUCAGUGUACCAACGAGUGCAUCCGACUUAUUUCACUUCCACCUAUGGCAUCAUCAACAAUAUCUUGAAGAAACAGUGCCGUGGUACUGACGCUGAGUACGUCGAGACAAUGAAUGACAUAUGCUUUGAAAUGUACAAGUUCUACGGAGAGUUACAAGCGUAUAAAAAGUACUACCCAGAAUUAUACAGUUUGGAGGACCGGGAAAUACGUAUGGGUAACAGAGAGGGACUCACGUUGUACAAUAAUCUGAUCACUUACUACUUGAAGAUCUCUGCACCUGAGGGAAUAUUUACUGUUGCUAAUUAUUCCAACGCUGUAAUGGAAGGGAAGUUAACAGACGAUUUUCCAGAAUACCCGAUACUAAAGUUCUGCCAAAGAUAUCUCGCUAUUCUUGACGAGUUCAUCUCAAUAGGCAUAAACAGAAGUAAUUUGGAUGACGAAACAGCUUGCAAUAUGUUCCAACUUCUGAGCUGGAGGGAGAGGUUCUUUAGGACGGCUCAUGAACAGAUCUUUGCAGAAAGCGGUGAAGCCAGUCGGCGCAAAGUGUUGAGAGAAGACAUUGUCCCUCUACUGUACGCACAUAGCAAAUGGGUCCAAAAACAUUUGAUACAUCCUUUACUAAAACUGUCAGGCCGUGAGAACUUGCUCAGACGUUUCAAUGACUCGUCAGCGGUGAUAGCAAUGUCUAUUGAAGAAGACAAUACGGAAUACACGAAGUUGAGCAAGAAACUGCGCAAGUCAUACGGCCAACCGAAAUUGUUGGAUAACCAGGCAGAGUAUGAGGCUUGUAUGGAAAGGACUAAGAUCUACAACAAAGUCUCUUUGGACCUAAACCAACCAAUUUCGAAACAACUGCAUAGACUAUCAGCUGACAAUUAUGCUGUAACGGACAUGACAUUGGCUUUAGACGUGCCGGAUAGCGAAAAGCUAAAAACAAUUCAGAAUAACCUUGAGCAAGUUGAGAGCAAGGCCAUUGAGAAGCCAGGAUCUCACGUCAAGAUACUUCCAAUCAUCUCCUAUGUGGUCCAAAGGGUCCUGACCAUCCUACAAAGAGAUUUCCUCAACGUUUUGACGGAGAUAUCAAAGAAUGGAGACAUAGUGACUGUUAGUAUUGAGAGCUCGGAAGUGCUGGCCAGUUUGGUCGCCUUGGGCAAGGUGACCAAAGGAUUCCCUCAGGCUUUGUUGAAUCUGAUGGAAGUAUUGUUGAAGCUUCAGAAUGAUGAUGGCAGUGUGCUUUGUGAGAGGAUAUCAUCACUGCCAAUAAAAUUCUGGGACGAGUAUUACAAGGCCGUGGUCUAUUCUCCUGCCUUCUACCCCGCCCCGUUCUUCACUCCUUACGACCCCACCAGUUCAGAAGAUGUAGUGGAAGAGAUUCCAGUGAACAGCAAGAGAUUGUCCAAUAAUCUACCUCUGCUUCCGUAUUACAUGCAGAAGUUUACCGUGUCUUCUGAUAAUCCUGAGUCGCGUCACUUGUUGGCGUAUGAAGCUGUGUCGAUGGAGGAUAGAACAAACUACUCCAUGCAACUGGGAACUGUGUUGAAUGUCCUGUGGAAGAAUAUUGCCACACUGGAUUGUGCAGUAUCGAUCAAGUUGGUAUCAGACGCGAAAUUCGAAAUGAAGAAAUACGAGCAACUCAUAACCUUCUUAUACUCAGCUCUCGAACUAAAGAACGAAACGAAAACGUUCGAGGAGAAACGUUUCAACGUCACCGAAAACGUUCGAGCGCGAUACAGACACACAAACUUCGACGACAUACUAAUCGAAGCGAACAUAGCGUACGAUGGACUUUUAACCUUAUUGAACAAGAAUACAGACGAAUUACGAAUGAAAAUGAUCACCACACAGUUAUCAGUACAUACAAGUGUUUUAACAACGAAGAUUUUGUCUGAAAUCGUUCCGAUGGACCGUGUAGCCAAAUAUAGACUUAAAGUCAAGUACAUAGAGGAGGAUAUUAAAAUGUUUGAUGCUUUGUUAAGCGUUUAUUACUUCCACGGUAUAGUGACAGGUUCCAUUGACUAUUAUGGCGGUGUAGACAGGCCUUCCCAAGUCACUUUUAACAAAUUAAGCAAAGAAAGCGGUUUGUUAAAAGUGCACCCACAUUGCCGCACUAUUAUGGAGCUCCGACAAAGGACGGUUGAUAAAGUUAACAAGUAUAAGCUUGGUAAUACUUUCAGACCUGAAGAGCCGAAGUAUUUGAGUUUUGCUAACGACUGCAAACACUUCACAAAAUCAGUUCUAUCUUCAAAAACAACACAUGACAUUACAAUCAACCUGAUAAACGCAAGCAAAGAGCUGUACGGAGUCAUAGUUACCAACAGCACGAACAAAACAGUGCUGCAAACCGCACAGAGAGUCAUCAAAGAAACUUCUUCAUGGCUGUAUUCCGUCAACGCGUUUUAUAAGAAAAUAGAGACUUAUUCCGAAGCUAUGCCAGACUUAGCAAAGCCUUUGCAAAGUUCCAUAUCGCAGCUCGUUUUUAGUAUAACCUCUUUGAACGAUUUGACUAAGGAAUUGUUAGUUAAGAUCGAACAAGGUACAUUGUUAAAGGAGGCUGUACAUGAUUUGAUGGUGUUCCCCAAUGAUAUACCUAAUAUUGGCGGUAGGGAGGCGCAUUUGAACAGGUUUUUGUCCAUGAAUUUCAGUCAGUUGUUGGCUAGAAAUGUCAUGGGUGCUAGCGAAGAGACGCAUCCUGCUGAAGUGGAGGUUGUUCAGGUGUUGAAAAUGAACCUACUGGAGAUACGCAUGCACUGCACAGCGCUAGACAAGAUCGACAGAAUAUCUAUGGAAUCCAUUCUGACUACACUCAACGCGCUCGUGAAGGCGUGGGAGCAACAACAGAGGGAAAUCGAGAAGAAAAAGCAGGAUGAAGAAGCUUUAUAUGUUACUAAAUCAAAAUGCGAAGACGAAGAUGAAGAAGCGAUGGCCUUAGAAGAAAUGAUGGAGAUGUUCCCAUCUUACUCUGACCAGGACUUCGCAGAGUUUAAACCGCCAACCCUCGAACAAGUACCAGUAAAGACCCCAAAAACAGAGAAACCCAAACAAAAACUCCUUAUAACACCUGAAGAUAUUUCCCUAGUAUACAAAUGGCAUUCCAAUUUAGUCCGUAACAUGACGUCAGCGGAUUGGUUACCCGACCGAAAGAAGUUGGUCGGUAAUGACGUCGUCAGUCCGUUCUUGGAAAGGUAUCCCACAUUUAGCCGGCUUAUAAAUAACGCGUGGGACGCUUUGGAUGCCGAGUUUGAAGGGAAGAUAUCGCCGAGUUUGAUGGUCCUUAUUGCUCAGAUUAAGGAUAAGGUUGAUGGGGAAGAUUCUUCAAGUAAGGUAGACUUCUACAGAUCCGCGUGGGUCUCGGAAACCAAGCAGUGUGUGCCACUGUUACACCGGGUGAAAGAGAACACCAAUGAACUGCUUGAUCAAUGGCCAGACUUCCCUACUUUGAAGGAGAUCAUAGUAAUAGUAAACAGAAUCCUCAGUUUCCCGGUAACAAGUCCGGUGAGUCGGUUCCUGACGGGACUAGAGUUGCUCCGGGAUAAAAUAGAGGAGUGGAACAAAAACGCCCAUAAAGGCAACAAUAUGAUCGAAGUGUCUCUGGCUGUCGGACAACAGAUUAUAAAUUGGAGGAAACUAGAGAUGGCGCACUGGAAGGAGUGUCUUAAUAAUCUGUAUAAUAGGAAACAAUCCGAAGCACAUAAGUACUGGUUCUACCUCUAUUCCGUCAUCAGUUCAUACCUAGACACGACAACGGAACCCGUACCGGCCGAUAGAGUCAUUACAGUGCUCAAAGACUUCAUGGAAAAAUCGAACUUAGCAGAGUACGAAAUAAGGUUGGAUAUCAUAUUCGUGUACCAUUGUCACUUGGUGCAUUUGGAACCUUCGGAGAGGAGAGACGAACUCCUAGCAGUCCUAUGGAACACAUACAACUACUAUGCGCAAUUCAGCGCACAAGUUGCCGCCCACAUUAAAGAGAAGCGCGCUCCCAUUGAGAAGAAAUUGCGCGACUUUGUGAAGAUAUGCACUUGGGACCGAGACCUUAGUUACUGGAGUGUUAAAGACACUGUUGAAAAGGCCCAUAAAGCUCUCCAUAAACAUACUAAGGAGUUUGAGAACGUUCUAAAAGAAAGCGUGACGAGCUGUAUAGUGGACAAUUCGACGGAAGUGGUAGGCGACCACGUGGGUAUCUGGGACCGACCGAAGCGUACCACGACGGCUAACGCCCCCACGGGCGGCGCCUACAUGAUCGACGUGCAGAACUACAUGCUCGUCUGCAGGAAUAUUAAGCGAUACAUAUCUGUAUUGGAGCAGCCUAGCAAAUUGAUAGCAGAUGGGAGCCUGUUGCUAAGGAUUGCAAGUUUGUUGGACAAAACCAAGGCUUUAUGCAAGGAUACUAUUACGAAUACUGGAUACCCAUCGCUGGUGCAGGCUUUGGACGAUUUUGUUACCAUCGUUAUUGAGACCAGCCAACAUCUUGGGUCUUUGGAGGUGGACACAUCCCUACCAAAAGAAAAACAGACAUCGCAAGCUAAAAACUUCAUACAACAAAAGCGUAAAGCUUUAGCUGAUCUAUUCAAAUACUUGACUAAACUCGGUCUUAACUACCGUACCGGGUUAGUGAUCAUUGCGUCGGGUAAAGAGCUAUAUGAUUUCACUAUACCGCCCGUCGAUUUGGAACCUGCUGUUGGGCAUUUGAAGAGCCGACGAUGCGACACCACUUUGUCUCUGCUCUGGUCUGGUUGCGAGAAGUACUUCCAGAAGAACAUCGCUCGCCACAGGACCCUCACUCAGGCACUGCAGUCUCCACACCAGGACUUGGGCAUGCAGAACAUUGAAAGAGUGAAAGGAUUUGCCGCGCAGUUGUUGAAAAUAACGAACACACAAAAGAAAUCCAUAUCGAAAUAUUCUCGUUACCUCUGUGACCUUCGCAACCUUUCCACAAACCUAAUUGAUGCUCUAGACUUUGACGAUACGGAAACCAACGUAUCUUCACUAAGAUCCAAGAUAGAACUACUCGUAGAAUGCUACGCCAACACUGGCAUUGUCCUAGAACAAUUCAACGCCGUACUCAAAUCUUGUCCCGAAAAAGGCAUAGAUUCAGAAACCGAACCAGAUUUUGACAACGUCCUUUCUGACUCAAAAAUAGUUCGCUGUUACAAAAACACGGACGAAUGGCGCGAUCUAAACAAGAGAAUUAAAGCCCUAAUAACAAACGUUAAUAAACAGAAGAACACGCUACAUAAAAUAUCGAAUGAUAUGCCCAAAGAAAAUGGGCAAGGUAAAGAGAAUCCUUUAGCGUCACAAACUCAUGCUACCAUCGCAAAUGACUGUAAAGUCAAUAUAGAAAAUAUGAUCAACGAUAUUGAUAGUUUGUUGCAAGACUAUCAGUUCAAAUUUAAACUCUCUUCUUUCGAACAUACACCAAGUCACCCUCUACUAAAGAGUAUAAACAAACUAGUAAGUUAUCUGAAGCAAACAGUUCGCGAAUUGGUCAAAUUGGACAAACGCGUUACACCAAAACCGACAAGAGUUACAAGCAACCAACUUGUAACUCAAACAGAAGAUUUGGUAGCAACGAUGCUGCUAAUCGUUCAAUCUGUGUACAAGAAGCAUUUACCACCAGACACCACAGAAAACGCUGAAGUAAUAAACGCUAUAGACGAAAUUAUAAAGAGCGAUAAAGAAGAGUCUAAAGACAUAGUUGAAGACAAACAUUUGAAGGAACAUUUGCAAGACAAACUUAGUAACGAUACCAGAAUGCUGCAAUUGGAGUCUCUUAUUACUAAGACUCAGUUAUUGUAUUCAAACUAUGUGGAACAUCUGGCCAUUAAUAACGUUGAUGAAGAAGUCAGGAUGGCGGUGAUGAGAGUGGUGCCAAUAUUGGAGCAAACUGUGUUGUUUGUCCAAUACUUUGUGACGCAGAAAGUGUCUGUGCACAGAGUAUCGUGCAAGAUGCUGUCUGUGUUGUUGAAGAUCUUCUCGGAUUUGGCUUCGAAAGGUUUCUGCAAGCCUUCAGACCUGGACAUGGAUGAUGCUGAGGGCGAAGGAGGUUCUGGCAAGUUUUCAGGUGGCAUGGGACUUGGGGAAGGAGAGGGACAGAAAGAUGUGUCCGAAAGAAUUGAGAAUCAGGACCAGUUAGAUGAUGCUCGUCAACCGGGAGAAGAGAAAAAAGAAGAGAACAGAGAUUGUAAAGAAGAAGAAAAGGGAGUUAAUAUGACUGAUGACUUUGAUUCUCAUUUACAAGAUGUUGAUAAAAAAGAUGGUGAACAGUCAGACCAAGAGGACGAUGAAGAUGAUGCUGACAAACAAAUGGGUGAUAUUGAUAACGCUGCUGACAAACUUGACCAACAAAUCUGGGGUUCGGAAGACGAAGAAGAAUUAAAUGAAGAAGAACAAGGGAAACAGAAAGAUAAGGAGGAAAAGGGUAAAGGAGAAAGUACGGGAGAGAAAGAGAUGUCAGCUAAAGAUGACCAGGAACAGGGUGCUGAUGAUGGAGCCGAUGGCAAAGAUAAGAAAAAGAAGAAAGAUAUCAAUGAAAUGGAAGAACCAGAGUUGGAUGAUGAUCAGACGGAUCCCUACCACGGUAACCAGCAGCCCCUCCCAGAGCCGGAAGACUUUGAGCUCCCUGAAAACAUGGACGUCGACGGUGAUGAUUUAGGAGAUGAUGAACAGGAGGGAGAAACAGAAACAGAGAAUCCAUUCGACAUUGAUGUGAUGAAGGACAAUAUACCUGAGGAGCCUGAAAAAGAGGAUGAUAAAGGUGAAGAUGGCAAGGACACUAACAACGGACUGAACGUGUCUGAUGAUGAGGAGGACGGAGGAGACCAGGGUGCGGACGAUGAAGGAAAUGAUGAUAAGGAAAAAGACAAAGAAGAAGAUGACAGUGAAAAACCCGCUCCAGAAGAUACACCACAAGAGAACGAAGAUGAUAAAGAAGGCGGUCAAGAAGUAGACCAAGAAGCAGCUGCACCAGAAGAAACGGAGACACCAGAAGUACCAGAAAAUGAAGAAAAGGAUUUGCCAAAGAAUCCUGAGAAGAUUGAUGAAGAAGACGAAGUAGAACAGAAGAAUCAAGAAGCUAAUCCUCAAGCUAAUCCGUCGAAUAAUGACCCGACUGCAGAAGAUAAGGCUGAGAACGCACAAAUGGAGAAAGGAACGGAUGAUAAUGUGGAAACUAAUGCUGAACAGAAUAAGGAGGAUGAAUCUAGUCCCUAUGAACAAGUACAAGAUCAAAAUACCGAAGAGAAACAAUCGACCGGUCGUUCGGAGUUAGACAAGAGUGACAAGGGCCACCGCGGUGAGAAGCAAGCAGCGAGUCGCACCGACCGCGCCGAGGAACAACGCAAGAAACACGAGAACAAACCUGGUCAGACUGAUCAGGAACGGACGCUUGGUGAUGUCAACGAAAAGAAACACAAACAAGCCAAGACCCUGAACGUGGAACGCGAAGACGCUGACGACGGUGGCGCCAACGACGAGGAUGCGGAGAAACAGGCAGACGCGUACCAACACGUGAAGCAAGCCAACAAGGAUGACUUGCAGGCGAUAGACGCUGCGACAAAAGAACAAGCGGACGAGCAGCCAAUGUUAGUAGACGAGGAAGAAAACGCUGAACCUUUGAAGGAAGACGAGGAAGUUCCUAUGGAUAUUGAUGAAGAGGAACUACAGGUGGAGAAAGCAGAAGAAUUGAAGCCAGAGAAGAUGAAAGAAGGAAAUAAAGAGAAGGAAGAUGAUAAGAGUGGGAGUAAGAAUGAGGGAGGGGAGGAGCCUACGGGGGAGACCGGAGUGGAGGUGGAGGGAGAGGUCGUUGUUACUGCACACGUGCCCAGGGGGAUUGAUACUACUUAUCAUACUAGGGUGAACGAAAACCAGAGCUACGCGGACGAUUUGUCAGUAGACGAGUAUAUGAGUAUCCGUCAGUGGCUGGCCAGCGGUCCCGCGCGGGCUCACGGGACGGUCCCCGUGUGGCGCUCUCUGUGGAGAGACUCUGCGGCCGCCGCACGGGCGCUGUGUGAGAGACUGAGGCUUGUGCUCGAGCCUACUGGCAGGUCGAGGAAAGCUGGUGACUUCAGAACGGGUCGCUCAAUCAACAUGCGUCGUGUGAUCCCGUACAUAGCGUCCCACUUCAGGAAGGACCGCAUCUGGCUCCGUCGCACUAAACCAGCUAAACGAGAAUAUAAGAUCGCCAUCGCCGUCGACGAUUCCAGUUCCAUGUCCGAUAAUAGGAGCAAGGAACUCGCUUUUGAAAGUCUUGCACUCGUCUCACAGGCGUUGAACCUCCUCGAAUCCGGUGACUUAGCCGUCCUGAGUUUCGGUGAAAAACCGAACUUACUCCAUCCAUUUACGGAGCAAUUUUCCGAACAUUCCGGCUCGAAGAUUCUAGAACAACUGCGCUUUGAACAAACUAAGACUAAGAUCGCACAACUGCUUGAUUUCUGCACCGUCUUGUUUGAAGAGCAGACGAUGAAGAGUGAUGCUGUUAAUGCCAAGUUGUUGGUGAUCGUCAGUGAUGGUAGGGGCAUAUUCUCUGAGGGAGAGACCAGGGUGCUGCAGGCGGUGCGCCGGGCCAGGCAGCAGGGAAUAUUCUUGGUUUAUGUCAUCAUUGAUAAUCCUGAUAAUAAGGACUCAAUAAUGGACAUCAGGCGGCCACUACUGGACCCAACAACGAACGCUCUCACCGGCUUCGUCUCGUACUUGGACACAUUCCCGUUCCCAUUCUAUUUGAUACUACGCGACAUGUCAGCCUUACCAACAGUACUGGGCGACGCGCUGCGGCAGUGGUUUGAACUGGCCGCUAAUACCGCUAAUUAAACAGUUAGAUAUAAUCAUCAAAACAAUAAAAUCAUCAUAAAUAGCCUGUAAGAGUCCUCUGCUGGACUUUGAGCCUCCUCUACAAAUAGGGGUUUUGUACACAGUCUUAACGGCAAAUUUCAAUAACCCAUUUAUCUGUAGAUUUGGUUACUAGAGAAUUUUUAUUUAAGCUUCAUACAAAUCAAUCAUGAGCAUUUGUUUGAGACAUUUUGUAGAAAUACUUCUAGUAAACAAAUCUACAGAUAGGUAGGUUAUUUAAAAUGGCUAUAAAACGAUCAGGUUUAUCGGAGAACGCUGCUGCCCAGUCUCUAAGUAGUCCUUUAAGGAAAGCGUCCACAGGCUCGUACACUUC
This is an RNA transcript of Spodoptera frugiperda (fall armyworm), 16655 nucleotides long. It is a transcript of the gene named midasin, with no coding region annotated. Lineage: Eukaryota; Metazoa; Arthropoda; Insecta; Lepidoptera; Noctuidae. The record is from RefSeq and is a predicted model, not a curated record. The transcript is spliced from 42 exons.